Molecule: small nucleolar RNA, 138 nt
Organism: Tachyglossus aculeatus (Australian echidna)
Lineage: Eukaryota; Metazoa; Chordata; Mammalia; Monotremata; Tachyglossidae
Source: RefSeq, a predicted model, not a curated record
ACCCUCUCAGGAUCACACCUGAAGAGUUUCCAGUACUCUACCAGUCUUGGCUAUGGGAGGGAGAGUCAAGGCAAGCAUAGGUACUUCCUUUCCUAGCUUGAGCAGUGGCUAGAGAGUGGAAGGCAAUCUGCUAUAAGU